GCCUUGGCCCUGGUGCCCGGGGCCGGGACCUGCCCAGGGCCCUCCGGAGACACUGGGGAGAGUGUAGAGCCACAGGCAGUGGCGGCCACGGGAAGUCCAGCAGCCCCAGAACAGGCCCCGACGGCCCUUGGCCUCAGCAUUCUCGAGCAGAAAUAUGAACAAAAGUAUUUUUUGAGGAAUAUGCCCAGCGAUGCACAUACAUGUUUCAGGAAAAGAUGUGGCAGGGUGAUAGGAAUACCUCUGAAACUAGAUGAGCUGGCCCCCAUUGGCUGUGAGAUGAUGAUUUUAGUGGCAUGUAACAAGGAUCUGUGGGGCACGUGCUACAUUCCAGGUAUUUUUUAUGACUCACCCUCACCAACAGCUCUGCAGGAUGACCCAUUUUACAGAUUGAAAAACAAGGCAAGUCAAGGCUCAGAGAGGUUACAAAACUCAGCCCAGGUCUCAUGUCCUAGCCAUGGUCCCCCAGCUGACUGCAAGAGGCCUUUUCAAGCCUGACCUCUGACAGUCUCUCUCCAGCUGUAGUGGGAAAGAGGAAGCGAAGGGCGGGCCUCAGCAGACUCCUCAUUCCCAUGGAGCUCAUGGCUUUCCCUGGGUCGCUGGCUCAAAUAACAAGCAUCAACCACAGCCAGAGCCACUGCAGGAUGGGGCCGAUCUCGUGCUCCUGGUCUCUGGGCCCGGUGUCUUUGGCGUCUGCCGGGGCCGUGCACUUCCUGGGUGUAGUGUGCCAGCUGGUACCCAGCCCUUGGGGAAGAUAGAAACACCCCAAAGAGCAGAGUCCCCUCUGAUGCUUGCGCGUUCCUUCCAGAGAUGUAAACAACCUCUUCCUGUGUUUUUCU
Molecule: non-coding RNA, 836 nt
Organism: Manis javanica (Malayan pangolin)
Lineage: Eukaryota; Metazoa; Chordata; Mammalia; Pholidota; Manidae
Source: RefSeq, a predicted model, not a curated record